Molecule: transfer RNA, 91 nt
Filed under: Cupriavidus plantarum
Lineage: Bacteria; Pseudomonadati; Pseudomonadota; Betaproteobacteria; Burkholderiales; Burkholderiaceae
Description: tRNA-Thr
Source: RNAcentral
CCGCGUGGGCGAUGCCCUUCAUCGACGCGGGCGGCGUGAGCACGGCGAGUUCGGUCGCGAGCUCGUCGGGGUGCAGCACCCCGCGCGCGGA